GCGGCAGCAGCCAGGUGUGGGUGACGCGUUCGCGCUGCAUCGUCGCCAGCACGUCCCCGGGUUCGAAGCCCUGCCGCAGCACCA
Molecule: transfer RNA, 84 nt
Filed under: Streptomyces rubradiris
Lineage: Bacteria; Bacillati; Actinomycetota; Actinomycetes; Kitasatosporales; Streptomycetaceae
Description: tRNA-Ala
Source: RNAcentral